AUGGAGCCCAAGAACACCACCGCAGCAUGGGCCCAACGCUUGAGCGGCAUGGAAGCUCGGCUGAUCCACGUAGAAGUUCUUCUCCUCUUGAGCACCUUCGCGUGGGUUCUCCUGGAGCUGUUCGGCUCAUUCCGGCGGCGGUACAAUCACGGGUUCUUCCGCCUCUUUGUCUGGACAGUGUACACACUGUCCACUGUGCUGGUGCCAUACACUAUCGGCCUGCUGCAGGCUGGUCCAUACCGCGACCAGACGUUCGUCCUCUGGGGCACCAUCCUCCUCCUCAUCCAAGUAAAUCCUGUCUCCCUCUCCACCUACAGUAUCCAGGAUAUUGAGCAUAGGAAAAGGAUCCUUGUGCAGCAAGCGUCGCAGAUCUUUCUGGUGCUAUGGCUGAUCAUCAAUGGUAGCGGUAGCAACAAGAGUUAUAGAGGUACCAUAUGGAUUUUCUAUAUUCAUAGCAUCAUUUUGACGUUCACCAAGUUUGGGAAUUUAAGUAAGUCGAGCAAUAAGGGGGGUUUGCUUGCGCAUUCUAAAGUGGUUGCUGAUUACAUGAUGAUUGAGCAUCAGCUAGCUCACGACGUCAUUAAUCCAGGCACGAUGGAGGGGUACAGGUACAUAGUAGACGGGGAAAAGGAAGUGGCUUCCCUGCUUCCAACUGCACCUGAGUACAGAGUUGGAUUAAACGAGGUGAUGAGCACUCACAGAUAUUUCACCAUUGAUUCUGCUUGGCAACGGAUCAACUCUCACAGCUUCAAGCAUAAGGAAUCUGUAGAUUUUUACAAGGAUACUGUGCUCUCCUUCACAUUAUUCAAACUGCUGAAACGGAGAUUCUGUGGCUAUCGGCUCGGUGAAGCUGGCCUUGAAAAGACACUGCAUCUUGUUCUUCAUGGGCUCCUCUCUGGGAAUGACAGGAGCUAUGUUCGUGCUUUUCGAGUUAUCGAAGUGGAGUUGUCAUUCCUGUAUGAUUACUUUUAUACAAUGGAAUUAUUCAGUGGGACUUGGUUCUGGUCAGGAAUUGUUAUAUCAACUGCUAUUGUUUGGAACAGCAUAUCCGGAGCAUUUAGCAGGCACUACCAUCAUAGCAAUUUGGAACAGAGAGUCAAUGGAACAGAUGUUAUUCGGUGGGUUACCAUAGCUUUGCUUGCCAAUUUUGUUUUGGUAUACAUUAUCAGGGUAUAUAUUAUGCCUAACAGGCUGGCAGUACUGGAAGAACUUUGUCACCACAUUACGUAUGAAUUUCCCAUAACUGAAGAAAGACCCGGAGCACAAGUUACAUGGGAAAGAAAGCUCAGACAGUACUCUCUACUACACGACUUCGACUACGAUCCGUGGAAUGUACUGUCUUUUCUGUCACUAGGCUUGAUCGAGGCUACAAGAAAAGGACAGAAGUCUGGGGAGAAGAUAAAACUGGCAGAUACAGUCAUCGUACGCGUCCUCUCUCAGUUCAAAGAAAACAACGGCAAGCUAGAGAAUGGCCAGUCAGCACUUGCUACAAAUCAGCUGGGAAGCCAAUUCUCAUGGGCCUGCACCUUGCCAACUCAUAUCCACACCAUCCUUGUAUGGCAUAUCGCCACAACCAUCUCCUGGAACGAGGUUCCGCUGGAGGGCAACGUGGACCUCCUUAUUGCCGUGAGCCUGUCGGAUUAUUGCGCCUACCUGGUAGCUUUUGUUCCAGACAUGCUGCCUAGCCAUAGCUACGACACACGGCGCAUGUUCGACGCUGUGGUGAUGGAGGCUCGGCAGCGCCUUGCCGGAUGUGAAACUCUGAGCUGUAGGUGUGAGAAGCUGAUGACAGGCUUGCACAACGACGACGGCACAAUCUUAUAUAUGGGAGCCGAGCUUGGGAGGCAACUUAGAGACACGGUUCCUGACCGAGAACAGCGUUGGAAGGUGCUGGCUGACUUUUGGGCGGAGUACAUACUCUUCCUGGCGCCAUCGGGCAAUGCGGACAUCCAUGCGGAGAUGCUGGCCUCCGGCGGGGAGUUCAUGACCCAUCUCUGGGCGCUUCUCACUCAUGCCGGUAUUCUGGAGCGGCCGUCUUCCUCCUCUGGGUUUGACGCUCCUGGUGGGCUUAAUGGUACCACUGCACAAGACUUCGAGGUUUGA
Molecule: ribosomal RNA, 2103 nt
Filed under: Triticum aestivum (bread wheat)
Lineage: Eukaryota; Viridiplantae; Streptophyta; Magnoliopsida; Poales; Poaceae
Description: partial small subunit ribosomal RNA
Source: RNAcentral